UACGUAGGCAGCAAGCGUUGUUCGGAAUUACUGGGCGUAAAGAGUGUGUAGGCGGUGUUCCAAGUCUGGUGUGAAAUCUCCCGGCUCAACUGGGAGGGUGCGCCGGAAACUGGAAUGCUCGAGUGUGGGAGAGGUAAGCGGAAUUCCUGGUGUAGCGGUGAAAUGCGUAGAUAUCAGGAGGAACACCUGUGGUGUAGACAGCUUACUGGACCACGACUGACGCUGAGACACGAAAGCGUGGGUAGCAAACAGG
RNAcentral lists this ribosomal RNA (253 nucleotides) under uncultured bacterium. RNAcentral describes it as "partial 16S ribosomal RNA". It matches the Rfam family "Bacterial small subunit ribosomal RNA", at positions 524 to 776 of the family's 1533-position model. The record is from RNAcentral.